Molecule: ribosomal RNA, 1224 nt
Filed under: uncultured Sebacinales
Lineage: Eukaryota; Fungi; Basidiomycota; Agaricomycetes; Sebacinales
Description: eukaryotic LSU rRNA
Rfam family: Eukaryotic large subunit ribosomal RNA (bases 588-1224)
Source: RNAcentral
CUGCGGAGGAUCAUUAAUGAAUUUCAAGUCGGUCGUCUGUGCUGGUGGCAACACAUGUGCACGUCGGCCGCAAAUCCACACACCUGUGCACUUUUGACUCUGGGAUCCGCUGGUCUUUUGACUUGCAGCAGGUUGGCUCUGUGCUGACCUGGGUCUCAGAGUACUUUUAUAUACUCCUGAAUGUUAUGGARUGUCUCUGUGCUUAACGCGCAUCUAUAUAACUUUCAACAACGGAUCUCUUGGCUCUCGCAUCGAUGAAGAACGCAGCGAAAUGCGAUAAGUAAUGUGAAUUGCAGAAUUCAGUGAAUCAUCGAAUCUUUGAACGCACCUUGCACCCUUUGGUACUCCGAGGGGUACACCCGUUUGAGUGUCAUUGUAAUCUCACUCCGAUGACUAUGUUGUUGUCUGGAGGUGGACUUGGACCCUGCCGUGUCACAAUGGCUGGUCUGAAAUGCAUGAGUGCACCCUGCCAUAGCAGCGUCUUCAGUGUGAUAAGUAUCUUCACUGACCCAAGCUUCCUCUGUGGAACACGCUUGUCUGGUGGGCUCUGGGCUUCCAACCGUCCCCAUGGACAACUCUUGACAAUUUGACCUCAAAUCGGGUGGGAUUACCCGCUGAACUUAAGCAUAUCAAUAAGCGGAGGAAAAGAAACUAACAAGGAUUCCCCUAGUAACGGCGAGUGAAGAGGGAAAAGCUCAAAUUUUGAAUCUGGUACCUUUGGUGCCCGAGUUGUAAUCUAGAGAAGUGUUUUCUGCCUUGGACCACGCAUAAAUUCCCUGGAAUGGGGUGUCAUAGAGGGUGAGAAUCCCGUUUGUGGUGUGGACUACCUUGGCUUUGUGAUACACUCUCAACGAGUCGAGUUGUUUGGGAAUGCAGCUCAAAAUGGGUGGUAAAUUCCAUCUAAAGCUAAAUAUUGGCGAGAGACCGAUAGCGAACAAGUACCGUGAGGGAAAGAUGAAAAGCACUUUGGAAAGAGAGUGAAACAGUACGUGAAAUUGUUGAAAGGGAAGCGCUUGAGGUCAGUCACAUCUGUCAGGACUCAGCCAGGCUUCUGCCUGGUGUACUUCCUGGCCGGUGGGUCAGCGUCAGUUUUGACCGAGGGAAAAAGGCUUGGGGAAUGUGGCUGUCUUCGGGCAGUGUUAUAGCCCCUUGUUGUAUGUCUCGGUUGGGACUGAGGAUCGCAGCACGCCUUAUGGCCGGGGUUCGCGCCCUCGGUACGUGCUU